Molecule: long non-coding RNA, 810 nt
Organism: Rhododendron vialii
Lineage: Eukaryota; Viridiplantae; Streptophyta; Magnoliopsida; Ericales; Ericaceae
Exons: 3
Source: RefSeq, a predicted model, not a curated record
GAUGCACGAUAAUGGAGGUGUUGUGCCCGCGGUAACAGAGAUGUACAAGGAUACCCACUUCAAUAAGGACACACAAAAAUGGAUCUCUUCAGAAUCCGAAGUUCUCUAUGAUAAGAUGGUACAAAUAGAGACUGAACAUAAUGCGUAGGAAGGUGCAAUCCCGAUUACGCAAGAGGAGCUCUCCGUUAAAGGACUCAAGGCAAAGUCAGGCUAUGUGAAUGGACUUGGCAUUAGGCCUUCCUCCUCUAUUAGGACUGUGAACAGGGAGUAUGUAACACACCUCGAGGGAAAGGUGCAAGAGCAAGCUGAAAAAAUUCAGGAGCAAGCGGAAGGAAUUGAAGCAGCAAACAAUAAGAUAGAGGAACAGGGGAAGACUUUGGCUAGUGUUAUGGCGUUUCUUAAACAACAAGGAUUCACCGGUUAACAACUUGCUGAUUGAAUACACAUAAGGUUUGUAGGGGGGAAGAUGGUAUAUAGACGUUCUUCUAUGAAGACUUUUUGUUUGGAUAUAUGAAGACUCCUUUUUGGGAUGAAGGUCCGAGUCUUCUUUUUUGGAUGUAUGCUUCUAUGAAGACUCCUUUUUGGGAUGAAGGUCCGAGUCUUCUUUUCUGGAUAUAUGCUUCUAUGAAGACUCCUUUUUUGGAUGAAGUUCCGAGUCUUCUUUUUUCAUUUUAAUGAUGCUACAGAACUAUGAUGAACAUAUAUGGUAUGGUCUACCUUUCAUGUUUUUGUCAUGGGAAUAUUGAUGCUUUAGAUCCUAUGGUUGAAUGGACAUUAAUUUGGUAUAGAAUACAUAGUUUUUGUGGUUAA